GAUGAACGCUGGCGGCGUGCCUAAUACAUGCAAGUCGAGCGAACAGAUGAGGAGCUUGCUCCUCUGACGUUGGCGGCGGACGGGUGAGUAACACGUGUAUAACCUACCUAUAAGACUGGGAUAACUUCGGGAAACCGGACCUAAUACCGGAUAAUAUAUUGAACCGCAUGGUUCAAUAGUUCAAGACGGUUUUUCUUUCUCUUAUAGAUGAAUCCGCGCCGCAUUAGCUAGUUGGUAAGGUAACGGCUUAACAAGGCAACGAUGCGUAUCCGACGUGAGAGGGUGAUCGGCCACACUGGAACUGAGACACGGUCGAGACUCCUACGGGAGGCCGCAGUAGGGAAUCUUCCGCAAUGGGCGAAAGCCUGACGGAGCAACACCGCGUGAGUGAUGAAGGUGCUAGGAUCGUAAAACUCUGUUAUUAGGGACGAACAAAUGUGUAAGUAACUAUGCACGUCUUGACGGUACCUAAACAGAAAGCCACGGCUAACUACGUG
RNAcentral lists this ribosomal RNA (497 nucleotides) under uncultured bacterium. Its description in RNAcentral is "partial 16S ribosomal RNA". It matches the Rfam family "Bacterial small subunit ribosomal RNA", at positions 28 to 507 of the family's 1533-position model. The record is from RNAcentral.